This 497-nucleotide ribosomal RNA is filed under the name uncultured bacterium. RNAcentral's name for it is "partial 16S ribosomal RNA". It matches the Rfam family "Bacterial small subunit ribosomal RNA", at positions 28 to 507 of the family's 1533-position model. The record is from RNAcentral.
GAUGAACGCUGGCGGCGUGCCUAAUACAUGCAAGUCGAGCGAACGGACGAGAAGCUUGCUUCUCUGAUGUUAGCGGCGGACGGGUGAGUAACACGUGGAUAACCUACCUAUAAGACUGGGAUAACUUCGGGAAACCGUAGCUAAUACCGGAUAAUAUUUUGAACCGCAUGGUUCAAAAGUGAAAGACGGUCUUGCUGUCACUUAUAGAUGGAUCCGCGCUGCAUUAGCUAGUUGGUAAGGUAACGGCUUACCAAGGCAACGAUGCAUAGCCGACCUGAGAGAGUGAUAGGCCACCCUGGAACUGAGACACGGUCCAGACUCCUACGGGAGGCAGCAGUAGGGAAUCUUCCGCAAUGGGCGAAAGCCUGACGGAGCAACGCCGCGUGAGUGAUGAAGGUCUUCGGAUCGUAAAACUCUGUUAUUAGGGAAGAACAUAUGUGUAAGUAACUGUGCACAUCUUGACGGUACCUAAUCAGAAAGCCACGGCUAACUACGUG